AUCUUAUCGAGAGUGGCGGAGGGACAGGCCCGAUGAAGCCCGGCAACCGAUUGAUGCGCGGUGUAUACAUACGUCCCCAAGCAUCAGUGUCAUGGUGCUAAUUCCUACAUGGCGUGGCAUGUUCACGGCUUUGUGCAGAUGAGAA
RNAcentral lists this non-coding RNA (145 nucleotides) under Paenibacillus sabinae. RNAcentral's name for it is "SAM-I sequence". It matches the Rfam family "SAM riboswitch aptamer (S box leader)". Rfam says of the family: The SAM riboswitch is found upstream of a number of genes which code for proteins involved in methionine or cysteine biosynthesis in Gram-positive bacteria. The SAM riboswitch acts at the level of transcription termination control. The record is from RNAcentral. Lineage: Bacteria; Bacillati; Bacillota; Bacilli; Caryophanales; Paenibacillaceae.